RNAcentral lists this ribosomal RNA (1242 nucleotides) under metagenome. RNAcentral describes it as "bacterial LSU rRNA". It matches the Rfam family "Bacterial large subunit ribosomal RNA", at positions 1564 to 2815 of the family's 2925-position model. The record is from RNAcentral.
UGAAUACGAGAUGCUACGGCGUCGAAGCAGUGUAUGUCAGACUUCCAAGAAAAGCUCGCAAUGUCAUAAAUAAAGAAUGCCUGUACCAUAACCGACACAGGUGGGUAGGUAGAGUAUACUAAGGGGCGCGAGAUAACUCUCUCUAAGGAACUCGGCAAAAUAACUCCGUAACUUCGGGAGAAGGAGUGCCUUCUUUAAGAAGGUUGCAAUAACAAGAUCCAAGCAACUGUUUAUCAAAAACACAGGUCUCCGCUAAGUCGUAAGACGAUGUAUGGGGGCUGACGCCUGACCAGUGCCAGAAGGUUAAAGAAGUUGGUUAGCUUUUGCGAAGCUGAUGACUGAAGCCCUGGUGAACGGCGGCCGUAACUAUAACGGUCCUAAGGUAGCGAAAUUCCUUGUCGGGUAAGUUCCGACCCGCACGAAAGGCGUAAUGAUUUGGAUACUGUCUCGGAGAGGGACUCGGUGAAAUAGACUUGUCUGUGAAGAUGCGGACUACCUGCACCAGGACAGAAAGACCCUAUGAAGCUUUACUGUAACUUGAAAUUGAAAUUGGACUUUAUUUGCGCAGUAUAGGUGGAAGGCGUUGAAAGUAAUCUUGCGGGAUUAGUGGAGCCAUCAGUGAGAUACCACUCCUAUAAUGUUAGAUUUCUAACUUUGGAUCAUGAUCUGGUCAAAGAACAGUUUCAGGCGGGCAGUUUGACUGGGGCGGUCGCCUCCCAAAUGGUAACGGAGGCGUACAAAGGUUUCCUCUGAACGGGUAGAAAUCGUAUCUAGAGUGUAAAGGCGUAAGGAAGCUUGACUGUGAGACCUACAAGUCGAGCAGGGACGAAAGUCGGUCUUAGUGAUCUGACGGUGCUGAGUGGAAAGGCCGUCACUCAACGGAUAAAAGUUACUCUAGGAUAACAGGCUGAUCUCCCCCAAGAGUUCACAUCGACGGGGAGGUUUGGCACCUCGAUGUCGGCUCAUCGCAUCCUGGGGCGGUAGUACGUCCCAAGGGUUGGGCUGUUCGCCCAUGAAAGCGGUACGCGAGCUGGGUUCAGAACGUCGUGAGACAGUUCGGUCCAUAUCCGGUGUAGGCGUUAGAAUAUUGAGAGGAGCCUUCUUUAGUACGAGAGGACCGAGAGGGACAUACCUCUGGUGUACCAGUUAUCGUGCCAACGGUAAGCGCUGGGUAGCUAUGUAUGGAGAGGAUAACCGCUGAAAGCAUCUAAGUGGGAAGCCCACCUCAAGAUGAGUAUUCUC